This 21-nucleotide non-coding RNA is filed under the name Arabidopsis thaliana (thale cress). The record is from RNAcentral. Lineage: Eukaryota; Viridiplantae; Streptophyta; Magnoliopsida; Brassicales; Brassicaceae.
CAGAGAUUCUGUUGAUUGUGU